CCAGCAGCAAGCUACCACAGAAAAAAAGCAUAUGUCCUCUUUCAAAAGAAAAAUCUGCCUUUUUACAGCUACAGAGAAUUGAAAGCAAACUUGAUCAUCAAAUGUGGAGUUGUGCCAAAUCACAGGCAGCCAGAAGAAAGCUCUGGCAUGAAGAAAGCUCUGAAGGUGAGAAGAAUGGAGAUGAAACAGCUUGGAAUGAGAAAAAGAGCAACGAGAUUCCUCCAGCCUGCAGGGGAAACUGUGCCACCCUGUCUCCUGCUUGGUCGCAGGCCUGUUUCUCCGAGAGCGCUGCUGCGAGCUCUGGCUCGUCCAGAACGACGCCUCUCUCCCACGAGGGACACUCGCUGUCAGCACCCUCCACUCCUACUGGGAGGGAAGCUGAGGAUGGAGAAGGCACAGCUGGCACAUGGUCUCCUGCAAAGAGCCUGUACUCACCAAGAAUGGACAACUUCAGGGACCACACAAAUUCAAGGAGGAGUCAAAUAGUACAAAUGGGAAAACCUCCCUGCUCUCUGCAUCACCCAUCCCAUUCCCCUGCAGGGAGCAGUCCGCUCUCUGCUGUGGCACCCGGCAGUGGGAGCAAUGAUCCUGUGCCCACGGCAGUGCUGCUUCCCACGUGCUGCCUUCCACCAGGCAGCAGGCCCAGCGAUUGCAAGCUGGAGGAGGCAUGGAAAAAAUCACCCAAGCAGAAAUUAGAGCAGCUCAAGGAGAGAAUCCGGGAGCAGAAGCAACACCAGCAAGCGGCAGCUCAGGAGCAGAAGUGCCUGAAUGCCACCUAUGCCAAGGAGCCACGGCAAAAGCGAAUGGUGCGCAAAGUUGUUUCUGCUCCUCCUGCUCCAGCUUACAGAGGUUUUAGUGCUGCGAGUCUGAGGUCUGCUCUUUUCUUGCCUGAUGAAGCGCGUGGAAUACCACAGAGAGAAGAAUUUAGCAUGCCUGGAGGACAGCGAGGUUAUAAAAAAGCCCUCAAGAUCCCAGACCAAGGAGAAAGAAGCUCAGCAGGGAGAAUUCAAAGCCUGAGGCAGCCUUCACCCCGGUCAUCUGUUCUGGACAGAGCAGUGACAGAUAAAAGUAUGAAGCUACCUGGAGCUUCUGCAUGGAGAGAAGAGCCUGGUAGAGGAUUGGUAGCAAUGCCAGCGAUGGAACAGAGCUAUAGAGAAAGGGGAAAUGAACCUCUGGGGAAAAGCCCUGAAUUCAAAAGCUGCAUGGUACCCCCCCGCACGCCUGUUGAAAGGGGCAGAAAUACACCAGGCGAGGAUACAAAGCAAAUACUCAGGAACCUACAUCUGCAAAGCAAACAUCAUGAUGAACACAGAAAUGCCAGGCUCCCAAAAGAUACUGCAAAAGGAAAGCUAGAAGAUCUGCAGCAGUGCAUAGGGAUCAAUUCUCCUUCACCUGGAGUUCAGGUCAUGACUCCCUCUGCCUUCAGUGGAGAAAAGACGAGAUCUUCAUUAAUGAGAGCUGAAACUGAGUACAGAAACUGCAGCAGAGGAAAUAGCACAUCUCCUCAAAGACAGAAAGGCUCAAGGAGCCCGGCACAGAAAGAGUCUGAAAAGGAAAAUCUUAAUCACCCUUCAAGGAGGAGGGCAAACAUGAAAAAACCUCACCC
Struthio camelus australis is the source of this 1606-nucleotide long non-coding RNA. The record is from Ensembl. Lineage: Eukaryota; Metazoa; Chordata; Aves; Struthioniformes; Struthionidae.